AUUGAACGCUGGCGGCAGGCCUAACACAUGCAAGUCGAGCGGCAGCGGGAAAGUAGCUUGCUACUUUUGCCGGCGAGCGGCGGACGGGUGAGUAAUGCCUGGGGAUCUGCCCAGUCGAGGGGGAUAACUACUGGAAACGGUAGCUAAUACCGCAUACGCCCUACGGGGGAAAGCAGGGGACCUUCGGGCCUUGCGCGAUUGGAUGAACCCAGGUGGGAUUAGCUAGUUGGUGAGGUAAUGGCUCACCAAGGUGACGAUCCCUAGCUGGUCUGAGAGGAUGAUCAGCCACACUGGACUGAGACACGGCCCAGACUCCUACGGGAGGCAGCAGUGGGGAAUAUUGGACAAUGGGCGAAAGCCUGAUCCAGCCAUGCCGCGUGUGUGAAGAAGGUCUUCGGAUUGUAAAGCACUUUAAGUUGGGAGGAAGGGCAGUAAGUUAAUACCUUGCUGUUUUGACGUUACCAACAGAAUAAGCACCGGCUAACUUCGUGCCAGCAGCCGCGGUAAUACGAAGGGUGCAAGCGUUAAUCGGAAUUACUGGGCGUAAAGCGCGCGUAGGUGGUUUUGUAAGUUGGAGGUGAAAUCCCCGGGCUCAACCUGGGAACUGCCUCCAAAACUGCAUGACUAGAGUACGGUAGAGGGUGGUGGAAUUUCCUGUGUAGCGGUGAAAUGCGUAGAUAUAGGAAGGAACACCAGUGGCGAAGGCGACCACCUGGACUGAUACUGACACUGAGGUGCGAAAGCGUGGGGAGCAAACAGGAUUAGAUACCCUGGUAGUCCACGCCGUAAACGAUGUAAACUAGCCGUUGGGUUCCUUGAGACCUUAGUGGCGCAGUUAGCGCGAUAAGUUGUCCGUCUGGGGAGUACGGCGUCGAGUUUAAAACUCAAAUGUCAUUGGCGGGGGCCCGGACCAGCGGUGGAGCAUGUGCUUUUAUUUUAAUCAGCGCGAAGAACCUUACCUGGCCUUGACAUGAUGUGAACUUUCCAGAGAAGGGUUGGUUCGUUGCGUUAGUCAGACACAGGAGAGGCGUGGCUGUGGUGUGCUCAGUGUCGUGAGAUGAAGGGUUAAGUCCCUCAACGAGCGCGACCCUUCUCUUUAGUUACCAGCAAGUUAUGGUGGGCACUAUAAGGAGACUGCCGGUGACAAACCGGAGGAAGGUGGGGAGGAUGUCAAGUCAUCAUGGCCCUUACGGCCAGGGCUACACACGUGGUACAAUGGUCGGUACAAAGGGGUGGCAAACCGAGAGGUGGAGAUAAUCCCAUAAAACGGAUGGUAGUCUGGAUAGCAGUGUGCAACUCUAGUGUGUGAAGUGUGAAUCGCUAGUAAUCUUGA
RNAcentral lists this ribosomal RNA (1333 nucleotides) under uncultured bacterium. RNAcentral describes it as "partial 16S ribosomal RNA". It matches the Rfam family "Bacterial small subunit ribosomal RNA", at positions 28 to 1347 of the family's 1533-position model. The record is from RNAcentral.